This 395-nucleotide small RNA is filed under the name Arabidopsis thaliana (thale cress). RNAcentral's name for it is "ATSL149130". The record is from RNAcentral. Lineage: Eukaryota; Viridiplantae; Streptophyta; Magnoliopsida; Brassicales; Brassicaceae.
UUUAAUAUUUUUCAUCCUACGUAUAUGCAUUGACAUUCAAUAAGUAAUUAUGUUUACUACGUUAUCAUAAAUUUAAUUUUUAAGUUUUAAUUAAUAAAUGUUUAAUUUGUUUUUCUGUUUGUUCCUCAUCAAAUUUCGGAAGGAACAAUUUUCUUCUUCGAUUCCUCAAAAAAUAAGGAAUAAAUAGGAAUAGUGUACGAUCCACAUGUUAUAAUUUGGAAAAAAAAUUACUGUUGAAUGGUAAAGAAAAGAGGAACAAUAAGGAACAUGUUGUUCCUAUCCAUUCCUUUCCUAAAAAGUAGUCACCAAUCGAAGCCUAUCUUUCAAUAGCAUACCUUCUUGAUUAAUUGCUUCUAUAAAAAAAAUCAAGAUCGUUUUAAUUAAUCUCUAUAUGU